This 1017-nucleotide ribosomal RNA is filed under the name uncultured bacterium. Its description in RNAcentral is "bacterial SSU rRNA". It matches the Rfam family "Bacterial small subunit ribosomal RNA", at positions 355 to 1375 of the family's 1533-position model. RNAcentral also lists the same sequence under 1 other name. The record is from RNAcentral.
UGAGGAAUAUUGGUCAAUGGGCGCAGGCCUGAACCAGCCAAGUAGCGUGAAGGAUGACUGCCCUAUGGGUUGUAAACUUCUUUUAUAUGGGAAUAAAGUUUUCCACGUGUGGAAUUUUGUAUGUACCAUAUGAAUAAGGAUCGGCUAACUCCGUGCCAGCAGCCGCGGUAAUACGGAGGAUCCGAGCGUUAUCCGGAUUUAUUGGGUUUAAAGGGAGCGUAGGUGGACAGUUAAGUCAGUUGUGAAAGUUUGCGGCUCAACCGUAAAAUUGCAGUUGAUACUGGCUGUCUUGAGUACAGUAGAGGUGGGCGGAAUUCGUGGUGUAGCGGUGAAAUGCUUAGAUAUCACGAAGAACUCCGAUUGCGAAGGCAGCUCACUGGACUGCAACUGACACUGAUGCUCGAAAGUGUGGGUAUCAAACAGGAUUAGAUACCCUGGUAGUCCACACAGUAAACGAUGAAUACUCGCUGUUUGCGAUAUACAGUAAGCGGCCAAGCGAAAGCAUUAAGUAUUCCACCUGGGGAGUACGCCGGCAACGGUGAAACUCAAAGGAAUUGACGGGGGCCCGCACAAGCGGAGGAACAUGUGGUUUAAUUCGAUGAUACGCGAGGAACCUUACCCGGGCUUAAAUUGCAUUUGAAUAUAUUGGAAACAGUAUAGCCGUAAGGCAAAUGUGAAGGUGCUGCAUGGUUGUCGUCAGCUCGUGCCGUGAGGUGUCGGCUUAAGUGCCAUAACGAGCGCAACCCUUAUCUUUAGUUACUAACAGGUCAUGCUGAGGACUCUAGAGAGACUGCCGUCGUAAGAUGUGAGGAAGGUGGGGAUGACGUCAAAUCAGCACGGCCCUUACGUCCGGGGCUACACACGUGUUACAAUGGGGGGUACAGAAGGCAGCUACCUGGUGACAGGAUGCUAAUCCCAAAAGCCUCUCUCAGUUCGGAUCGAAGUCUGCAACCCGACUUCGUGAAGCUGGAUUCGCUAGUAAUCGCGCAUCAGCCAUGGCGCGGUGAAUACGUUCCC